UGGCGCAGGUGAAAGGCCCGUCCCGAGGCCU
This 31-nucleotide small RNA is filed under the name Bombyx mori (domestic silkworm). RNAcentral's name for it is "ovarian small RNA-34890". Lineage: Eukaryota; Metazoa; Arthropoda; Insecta; Lepidoptera; Bombycidae. The record is from RNAcentral.